This 184-nucleotide ribosomal RNA is filed under the name uncultured beta proteobacterium. RNAcentral describes it as "partial 16S ribosomal RNA". It matches the Rfam family "Bacterial small subunit ribosomal RNA", at positions 355 to 529 of the family's 1533-position model. The record is from RNAcentral. Lineage: Bacteria; Pseudomonadati; Pseudomonadota; Betaproteobacteria.
UGGGGAAUUUUGGACAAUGGGCGCAAGCCUGAUCCAGCAAUGCCGCGUGCAGGAAGAAGGCCUUCGGGUUGUAAACUGCUUUUGUACGGAACGAAACGGUAGCCUCUAAUACAGGCUGCUAAUGACGGUACCGUAAAAAUAAGCACCGGCUAACUACGUGCCAGCAGCCGGGGGGUAAUACAAA